This 2756-nucleotide long non-coding RNA is filed under the name Olea europaea subsp. europaea. The record is from RNAcentral. Lineage: Eukaryota; Viridiplantae; Streptophyta; Magnoliopsida; Lamiales; Oleaceae.
GAACGACAUUCAUGUCUACUGUAACGACAUGAACGUAGUUUGCAUUCCCUGUGAGAAAAUAGGAACUUGAAUACCUAAAAUACUAAAAUUUGAUUCCAACGGUACAAAAAUAUUUCAAUAACACAAUGAGUACAAAAUCUAAUAAGUGAUUUCAUUCAGUUGAUAUAAUAAGUACGAAGUCGUACAGUUACAAAACAGGAUAGUGUUACAACAUUAAUGUUCACUACUAGCUGCUUGGCCCGUGCAAGUGGAUCGAACAUGACCAGUUUUCUUGCACCUGCUGCACUUACGAGCCACACGCGUCUCUCCGGCCGACCUUUUCCUCUUUUUUGAUGGUCGUCCGCCCUGUCUUCGUACCAAUGGUGGAAAUACUUCUCUGGCUAUCACAUUCUUAGGAAUUUGCCAUUCGACCUCGUUCGGCAAAGGAUAUACGAAUUUAGAAUAAGCUUGCUUCCAACAGAUACUAGUGUAAAAGGGGGUACAUAAUUUAUAGCCCUCGUCUCCUUUAAACCUUGCUGCAGCAAUUGCAUGCGCACAUGGAAACUUGUCCAAAUCAAAUCUUCUACACGUACAUGUCAUUUCGUAAAAAUCCACAAAGUGGUGUUCUAAAUUGUCACCAACUUGAUAAAUGUCCGGAGAAACCUGAUUUACCUCCAACCCAUUUGACUCAUUAUAUGUCAUGCACAUCUUUUUCUCUAAUGCUGGCGUGAGUUGGGUCACACAUUUUUCUGCUUCAACAUGUCUUUCAUAAAACCACCUUUGUAGUAUCCCACGAAUAUAUUCUAGUAAACCAACUAUGGGAAGUUCUCGAGCACUCUUCAACAAACCAUUUAUAGAUUCCGCAUUAUUUGUAGUCAUGAUAUUGUAACGUAUCCCGGUAAAAUGCGCUCUAGCCCAACAUUGAAAAUCUUCUUCUAAUAGGUACUCUUUGAUGCCCUCCUUUUUACUGCAUAGAGCUGCCAUGUAGGACUCAAAGUCGGUUACAGUAUAAGCCUCUGACGCUGCCCUAAACAAAGUUGCAACAUCACACCGUGGAAAAUUUGUCUUCAAGUUCUUUUGCAAGUGAUAUAUACAAUUACUAUGAUGAGCAAAUCGAAACACAUUUCUAACUCCAUUUUUGAUGCACUUUGCACGAGCAGAUAUAAUCACAAGGUCAUCCGUAUCACCUGUUAUUAACCGCGACUUCUAAAAGAACCAAGUCCAGGAUUCAUCAUUCUCCGAAUCAACUACUCCCCAUGCGAGUGGAAAUAUUUGAAAAUUUGCAUCUUGAGAAGUUGCUACGAGUAGAGUACCUUUCAUUCUCGAUGUCAAGAAUGCACCAUCUACAAAAAUUACCUUUCGAAUUGAGUUUACGAACCCAUGUAUACUUGGUCCCAAUGCCAUAAAAAGGUACUUGAAGCGCCGAUCAUCAUUAGUAUGAAUGAAUGUCAGUGUACCAGGAUUUUGCGUCUCCAAAACAUGACAAUAUGCUGGCAAUUUCACAUAACUCUCACGGGGUUUCCCACGAAUCAGUCCACAAGCAAAUUUUUUAGCCAUGUACGCUUUAGUAUAGCUUACGGUUAUGCCGAACUCUCGACGAAUGUCAUUAAUAAUGUCCCUUGGUCUGUAAACUCGAUUGACAUCUUCAUACUUAGGAGCGAUGUGGUUUCCAAUAAUCAUAUAUGAAGCAUGCCUAUGAUCUCUGUGACGAACACUCAUGGAGCAAGAAUGAUGACCAUUAUACUUUCGAACUUCGAAAAUGGGACUUUCUACGAUCUUGGUUGCCCGUAAGCGCCACUUGCAAUUUUCAUCAAUACAAAUAAUUGUAUGAGUGAUUUUAUUUGACUUCUUAACUUUGUACUCAAACUGGCACUUCACAGCUAGCAACUGUAAUUUUGAUAUUAGGUCAUAUUUCGAUGGAAACAACUGGUUGACUCGCACAUCUAAUCGUUCCGGAAUUUUUACUGAUGUCUCGUAACAGAGCGAACUUACACUUUCAGAUACAAUCUGAGUACAUUCAACAUCAUUAUUAUUCACUAUAUCCCUACUGCAAGGUUCGUGCGUGCGUAACUCAAAAUUAUUGUUAUCUGCCACAGGAGAAUUAACUUCGUCAUCUACCCUUCGGGGACUAUCUUCACUUACGUCAAAACCAUUACAAUCUACAAAUAUUCCAUCAUCAUUGUCAUCAUUACCAUUAUUGUCUGCUUGAUCUUGUUCCUCCUCGUUGUUCAUAUUUCCAAUUUGUUCUCCACCAUCUAUUACUAAUAAAUAUCCUUCAUCACCAAAAUCUUCCUGAUUCUCAACAACUUCAUUUAAAAUACUUACACAAAGAAAAGUUUCUGUACAGGCAAAUAUAAACCACUUUACGUUGUUGUCACAAUCAAUUAUGAUUGGUGCAGCUGGAGCUUUAGACAUUAUCGGGACAAGAGCUGAAAUCUCCAUUUUGUAUAGACUCGUAUCGAUUAUCAAUGCCUUCUUAACUUUAUCAUAUAGUUCCAUGUAAGAAAUUAUUUUUGCAACAAGAAUAUGUAUUGUUUUCCCUUUGCCAUUUCCAGAAUACUUCCAUUUCCGUCCACCUUCAACUGUCUGCUCAUAUUCAAUUGGAUAACAAAUCGAUAUCCAUACCAUGUCCAUGGUGUCCAUAACCUGUAACUCAACAUGUAAAUUUUAUCAAAUUUCAAACAUCAUACAGUAUUGAUAAUGAUAUAUAUGUUGUCAUGGAUUUCAGAAAACGAUAUCUAUGUCGUUCACAAUUUCAUAAAACGAUAUGAAUGUCG